Molecule: long non-coding RNA, 2955 nt
Filed under: Homo sapiens (human)
Lineage: Eukaryota; Metazoa; Chordata; Mammalia; Primates; Hominidae
Description: TIMM23B-AGAP6 readthrough (NMD candidate), transcript variant 2 (TIMM23B-AGAP6)
Source: RNAcentral
AACGGGAACCGGCGCCCGGAAUGUCAGCGUGUGAAGUAGGCGCUGGCAACGCGGGGUUACCCGCUGUUAUUGAGGAGUAACGGCCCAGCGGACCACCCAGGCUUGAGGCAGCGGCGGGAACCACUCGGUUUGCUGCGAUACCAUGGAAGGAGGCGGGGGAAGCGGCGACAAAACCACAGGGGUAUUGGCCGGCUUUUUCGGAGCCGGCGAAGCAGGUUACUCGCACGCGGAUUUGGCUGGCGUCCCGCUAACUGGUAUGAACCCUCUGUGUCCUUAUUUAAAUGUGGAUCCACGAUACCUCGUGCAGGAUACAGAUGAGUUCAUUUUACCUACCGGAGCUAAUAAAACCUGGGGCAGAUUUGAGCUGGCCUUCUUUACGAUUGGAGGGUGUUGCAUGACAGGGGCUGCGUUUGGGGCAAUGAAUGGUCUUCGGCUAGGAUUGAAGGAAACCCAGAACAUGGCCUGGUCCAAACCAGGAAAUGUACAGAUUUUGAAUAUGGUGACUAGGCAAGGGGCACUUUGGGCUAAUACUCUAGGUUCUCUGGCGUUGCUCUAUAGUGCAUUUGGUGUCAUCAUUGAGAAAACACGAGGUGCAGAAGAUGACCUUAACACAGUAGCAGCUGGAACCAUGACAGGCAUGUUGUAUAAAUGUACAGUGUCAGAGAUGGCUUUGGAUUCCCCGUUCUGUGUGCUGCUGUCUGGCUCCUGAACCCAGCUGUAGAGGUGUGUGUCAAUCCCAACUGGUGAAGUACUGAGAAGAAGCUACACAAAAGGCAGCAAAGUAUUACUUUGGAGUUUAACCUUUCUGCCAAUCCAGAGUCAAGCACAAUAUUCCAGAGGAACUCUCAAACAGAAGCUUUGGAGUUUAACCCUUCUGCCAAUCCAGAGGCAAGCACAAUAUUCCAGAGGAACUCUCAAACAGAUGUUGUAGAAAUAAGAAGAAGCAACUGUACAAACCAUGUAUCUGCUGUGCGUUUCAGUCAACAAUACAGCUUGUGUUCGACAAUAUUCCUUGAUGACAGCACAGCCAUCCAGCAUUAUCUUACAAUGACAAUAAUAUCUGUGACCUUGGAGAUACCUCAUCAUAUCACACAAAGAGAUGCAGAUAGAACUUUGAGCAUACCUGAUGAACAGUUACACUCAUUUGCGGUUUCCACCGUGCACAUUAUGAAGAAAAGAAAUGGAGGUGGGAGUUUAAAUAACUAUUCCUCCUCCAUUCCAUCGACUCCCAGCACCAGCCAGGAGGACCCUCAGUUCAGUGUUCCUCCCACUGCCAACACACCCACGCCCGUUUGCAAGCGGUCCAUGCGCUGGUCCAACCUGUUUACAUCUGAGAAAGGGAGUGACCCAGACAAAGAGAGGAAAGCCCCGGAGAAUCAUGCUGACACCAUCGGGAGCGGUAGAGCCAUCCCCAUUAAACAGGGCAUGCUCUUAAAGCGAAGUGGGAAAUGGCUGAAGACAUGGAAAAAGAAAUACGUCACCCUGUGUUCCAAUGGCAUGCUCACCUAUUAUUCAAGCUUAGGUGAUUAUAUGAAGAAUAUUCAUAAAAAAGAGAUUGACCUUCAGACAUCUACCAUCAAAGUCCCAGGAAAGUGGCCAUCCCUAGCCACAUCGGCCUGCACACCCAUCUCCAGCUCUAAAAGCAAUGGCCUAUCCAAGGACAUGGACACCGGGCUGGGUGACUCCAUAUGCUUCAGCCCCAGUAUCUCCAGCACCACCAGCCCCAAGCUCAACCCGCCCCCCUCUCCUCAUGCUAAUAAAAAGAAACACCUAAAGAAGAAAAGCACCAACAACUUUAUGAUUGUGUCUGCCACUGGCCAAACGUGGCACUUUGAAGCCACGACGUAUGAGGAGCGGGAUGCCUGGGUCCAAGCCAUCCAGAGCCAGAUCCUGGCCAGCCUGCAGUCAUGCGAGAGCAGUAAAAGCAAGUCCCAGCUGACCAGCCAGAGCGAGGCCAUGGCCCUGCAGUCGAUCCAAAACAUGCGUGGGAACGCCCACUGUGUGGACUGUGAGACCCAGAAUCCUAAGUGGGCCAGUUUGAACUUGGGAGUCCUCAUGUGUAUUGAAUGCUCAGGUAUCCACCGCAGUCUUGGCCCCCACCUUUCCCGUGUGCGAUCUCUGGAGCUGGAUGACUGGCCAGUUGAGCUCAGGAAGGUUAUGUCAUCUAUUGUCAAUGACCUAGCCAACAGCAUCUGGGAAGGGAGCAGCCAGGGGCAGACAAAACCCUCAGAAAAGUCCACGAGGGAAGAGAAGGAACGGUGGAUCCGUUCCAAAUAUGAGGAGAAGCUCUUUCUGGCCCCACUACCCUGCACUGAGCUGUCCCUGGGCCAGCAGCUGCUGCGGGCCACCGCUGAUGAGGACCUGCAGACAGCCAUCCUGCUGCUGGCACAUGGCUCCUGUGAGGAGGUGAACGAGACCUGUGGGGAGGGAGACGGCUGCACGGCGCUCCAUCUGGCCUGCCGCAAGGGGAAUGUGGUCCUGGCGCAGCUCCUGAUCUGGUACGGGGUGGACGUCAUGGCCCGAGAUGCCCACGGGAACACAGCGCUGACCUACGCCCGGCAGGCCUCCAGCCAGGAGUGCAUCAACGUGCUUCUGCAGUACGGCUGCCCCGACGAGUGUGUGUAGUAUCUGUUUUAUUUGACUGCAGUCUCCUUGGUGCAAAAACAAAAUGGGAAAAAUAAGGAUAACUCAGAAUUUCAAAAGGAAAUCACAAAUUCAGCUAAUAUUAGCAUUUUCAGUACUUUUCGUAAACUAAGUAAAUACACAAAAUGUUGAUUUUUCUGACCAUAAGACGUAUUUUAUGUCCUUCUGCCAAGGUGGAUUUGUUAGUCUCAGGCCCUCCUGGCCACAUUGCCCAAGUCACACAGGCUUCUGUAUUAUGUAUUUAGAUAAAAUGUGUGAAAACAUAUUUGAAAUAAAGUUCAUAAAUAUGCAUUGAUUUUUGUACACAUGGCA